AUUGAACUCUGGCGGCAGGCUUAACCCAUGCAAGUCGAGCGAGCGGCGGACGGGUGAGUAAUGUCUGGGAAACUGCCUGAUGGAGGGGGAUAACUACUGGAAACGGUAGCUAAUCCCGCAUACCAUCCGAUGUUCCCAGAUGGGAUUAGCUCGUAGGUGGGGUAAUGGCUCACCUAGGCGACGGUCCCUAGCGGGUCUGAGAGGAUGACCAGCCACACGUGAACUGAGACACGGUCCAUACUCCUACGGGAGGCAGCAGUGGUGAAUAUUGCACAAUGGGCGCAAGCCGGAUGCAGCCAUGCCGCGUGUGGGAAGAAGGCCUUCGGGUUGUAAAGCACUUUCAGCGAGGAGGCGUUACUCGCAGAAGAAGCACCGGCUAACUCCGUGCCAGCAGCCGCGGUAAUAC
Molecule: ribosomal RNA, 406 nt
Filed under: uncultured bacterium
Lineage: Bacteria
Description: partial 16S ribosomal RNA
Rfam family: Bacterial small subunit ribosomal RNA
Source: RNAcentral